CUAUAGAAAAAGUGGAAACUAAUGAUACUAUCCCAUAUAAAAGGCGGGUAAAAUAAUGUCAUUAGAUACCCUUAUUCCAUUCCGCGUACAAGACUACCCUUAAAGUUGUUAGGAAACUAUAUGACUGUUUUCAACGUAUAUAAACUACACAUGCUUGAUGAAACUGAAGAUUACAGCUGCAACACUUUGCAAGAUCUAAUAAUACAUCAGAUCUCAUGGUACUGAAAAACAACAUAUUUUAGUAAAGAACACAGGUUGUGUCUGUCCAUUGCUAAAAUUGCUCACUUCCAAAAUCCAUUCAAGAAAAUACUAUUAGACAAGAAUUUCUUGACGUAUCAAACUUCUCAUACUAUUUCUAACGUUUAUUUGUUUGGUCUUUUGUGCUUCAAUCCAUUAAAGUCUCUAUACCCUUGUUGUAUUAUUUGCACUCCAUAUUGUCAAAUUUGUUUAUCAUUUUAUUCUCUUUCUUCCUCUGUCAGACUCCACAAAAUGCUACUAUAAUUGCUCUCUUAUGUGUUGAGUUUUGACGUACAUUUUCCUUUUCAUGAUUUGAACAAGUUGAGCAUCUGCUUACUCCUUGAAUAUGGCUUGUAUUUACCAUCGUUCAUAGCUAUGCCUUCUGGAUAAUUAUAUUCUUCAAGAUUAGUAGGUUCUGUGAUGAGUAGCACCGGAAUCGACCAUCCAUGGGUCUGUUGCAGCUUGGUUACCUGAUAGAAAAUUUACCUUUACCUCUAAAUGAUUGUGAGACUGUGACCUGCAAACAUUUGCAGUAUGACCCUGUCUGUUGCAUAGUUGACAGCGAACAGGGUUACUGGUGCAACGCCCCCAUGCAGGAGCACUUCUACGAUUGUUGGAACGCCAUUGUGAGUUGUUGGGACGACGAGCAGUGCGAUUGCAGGAAUUGGUGGAUCUGUUUGGAAAUUUCACGAAAUCUGAUACAAGGCCACUCAGAAUUUUCACUACCAACUCAUCGUUUGUGACUGUAGCACCGGCGAUGGCUAGUUCAUUGCAGAUGGAGCGCACUUGAUGGAGAUAAUCAGCAACUGGGAGGGAAUCCUUUGAUAGUCGCGUGAGCUGGUCGCAAAGGCUAAAAAUUUAGGCUACAGUUGCUAGGUGUAGGGAGUGCCAAACAAGUUUAGUAGUGGAGGCAGUAGCUACAGUUGCAUCAAUCGUCGGAUCUGACAGAAGCCAUUAUGGCAUUCUGGAUCAAUUGAUCUUGGUGGAACCAAACGCUAUAUGCUGGAUUCUCUAUUUCUCUACCAUUCUGCGUGGUAAUUGUCGAAGGAGUGGGAGAAUAGCCAUCAAGAUGGCCAAACAGAUAGUGCCCACACAUGAGCAUGAAAAUCUGUGCCUUCCAUGUAGAAAAGUUAUGGCUGCCAACAAGUUUUAUCAGCAGCCAGGAUACAGGAUUAAACUGAACAACAACGCUAGAGUUGCGUCCAUUGGUAGAGUCCGCGUUCUAUAUGUCCUAGACAUGUUAAAAGGAGUCUGUGGUGGUAGUCAAAAGAUCGAAAAAAAAAACUCUGGAGAAUUAAGAUGUCAUCUCUGAUACCAUGUAAUGAAUUGAGCAAGAUGAAGCAAAAA
Long non-coding RNA from Capsicum annuum, 1584 nucleotides. RefSeq lists it as uncharacterized. The record is from RefSeq and is a predicted model, not a curated record. NCBI's taxonomy places the organism in Eukaryota, Viridiplantae, Streptophyta, Magnoliopsida, Solanales, Solanaceae. The transcript is spliced from 2 exons.